RNAcentral lists this long non-coding RNA (732 nucleotides) under Homo sapiens (human). RNAcentral describes it as "non-protein coding lnc-FBXO25-11:3". Lineage: Eukaryota; Metazoa; Chordata; Mammalia; Primates; Hominidae. The record is from RNAcentral.
AGUUGUGUAAUAAUCCUGGUGGGGCUCACAGCACUGCGUGGCAGGAGCGGAGCGAGCCUCGUAGGCGUUCCAGGUGUUCCCUGAGCCGGAUUAAAUGCCUCUGCGCUGUGGGGGUGGGGACAGCGUGGGGGGAAGCCAGGAAAAGCCGGGGCCAGAGGACCCCCCGCCGAGAAAGAGAAAGAGCUCAGAGCCGGGGACUGGAGGCCUGGAGGAGCCGAUGUGGGAGAGAUCCUCGUGGGAGGGCCCCAGUGGCCGGGAUGGUAAAAGACUUCGGAGCAAACUAAUCGAUUGUAAUUACAUGAAGGUGAAGCUGGUGAUGAUGUGUCAGAUGGGGAGUGUUCAGGAAAACUCCUACAAAGGUCUGCUGUGUGCCAAAAUAUUUUACCAUGCCCUAAAAGUGAGAUGUUGGAAGUGGACAAGGAGGAAAUAUUUAUGAAUAUUUGAGUCUGUUAUUCUUUAUGUUAAGCAUUUUGGCUUCUGUUGUACUCCUAAAUCACUACUGAGAGCAGAGAAAGAGCUCUUUGUAGAAAUGAGAUGUGUUCCUGUGUGCUGCCUGUGACGCAUCCCGUUGUCACCGGAGUGCCGUGGCCCUAAGGAAUGACAGCAUUAAGGCAUGGACGUUAAAGAUGGACAAAAGAAUUGUUCACGGUGUUGUAUUUUAAAAUGACUAUGUGUAUGACAAUUAAACUAUUGUGUCUUCGUUUACUCCAUGUGUUCUGCCUGACAGCUGGG